Molecule: ribosomal RNA, 443 nt
Filed under: uncultured bacterium
Lineage: Bacteria
Description: partial 16S ribosomal RNA
Rfam family: Bacterial small subunit ribosomal RNA
Source: RNAcentral
CCUACGGGGCGCAGCAGUGGGGAAUAUUGGGCAAUGGGCGCAAGCCUGACCCAGCAACGCCGCGUGAAGGAAGAAAGCCCUCGGGUUGUAAACUUCUUUUAUUCGGGACGAAACAAAUGACGGUACCGAAUGAAUCAGCCACUGCUACCUACGUGCCAGCCGCCGCGGUAAUACGUAGGUGGCAAGCGUUAUCCGGAUUUACUGGUGGUAAAGGGCUGGUAGGCGGGAGAGCAAGUCAGACGUGAAAGUCCAGGGCUCAACCCUGGAACUGCGUUUGAAACUGUGCUUCUUGAGUGAGGGAGAGGCAGGGGGAAUUCCGGGUGUAGCGGUGAAAUGCGUAGAUAUACGGAGGAACACCAGUGGCGAAGGCGGCCUGCUGGACAGUAACUGACGCUGAGGCGCGAAAGCGGGGGGAGCAAACAGGAUUAGAUACCCCGGUAGUC